RNAcentral lists this ribosomal RNA (155 nucleotides) under Magnaporthiopsis rhizophila. Its description in RNAcentral is "5.8S ribosomal RNA". The stretch from base 26 to 155 matches the Rfam family "5.8S ribosomal RNA", at positions 1 to 130 of the family's 154-position model. From Rfam's summary of the family: 5.8S ribosomal RNA (5.8S rRNA) is a component of the large subunit of the eukaryotic ribosome. It is transcribed by RNA polymerase I as part of the 45S precursor that also contains 18S and 28S rRNA. The record is from RNAcentral. Lineage: Eukaryota; Fungi; Ascomycota; Sordariomycetes; Magnaporthales; Magnaporthaceae.
GAAAGAAAAGAACUAAAAAAAUUAAAACUUUCAACAACGGAUCUCUUGGUUCUGGCAUCGAUGAAGAACGCAGCGAAAUGCGAUAAGUAAUGUGAAUUGCAGAAUUCAGUGAAUCAUCGAAUCUUUGAACGCACAUUGCGCCCGCCGGUAUUCCG